CUGUCCUGGCCUGUGCUUUUCCUGUCCACUGUGAUGGCUCCAAGACCAUCGUCCGGGCUGUACACACAUAAUCUCCCUGUCUAUUUAGGAUGACUGUCCUGAGCAUAAGGCUGGCUCUUAAAGCUAGGAAAGGAUACA
Molecule: non-coding RNA, 138 nt
Organism: Sorex fumeus (smoky shrew)
Lineage: Eukaryota; Metazoa; Chordata; Mammalia; Eulipotyphla; Soricidae
Product: small Cajal body-specific RNA 11
Exons: 1
Source: RefSeq, a predicted model, not a curated record